UUGUAGCCAAGACUACUUAGAUUGCCAAAAGUCCAAAACUUUCAAAACACAAACCAUGUAAUUCAAAGCCUAGACCAAAACUGAAACUUGGUUGUUGAGCCUUGAUCCAAACUUCUGUUGAUUUCUAAGGGGAAAAAAGAACCAAUAUAGUUACUAUCAUUGUGGUUACAUAAGUAGUACUCUUUAACCAUCUUAAAUUGUUGAUGAGUCAAGAACUUUUUUUGUGCGUGUAUGUUUGUGCGCACAUGCAUGUAUGUGACAGUGCGCAUGCGCACGCACAGAGAGAGAGAGAGAGAG
RNAcentral lists this long non-coding RNA (297 nucleotides) under Elaeis guineensis (African oil palm). Its description in RNAcentral is "long non-coding RNA (EGUI_LNC016350)". Lineage: Eukaryota; Viridiplantae; Streptophyta; Magnoliopsida; Arecales; Arecaceae. The record is from RNAcentral.